UCUGUGCAGAGUCAGGACAGACCCUUUUGGGGGGGCUGCAGGGUCAUGGAGAGCAUGACUAAUAUUCUUGGCCUCAGCAAGCUGACUGGGUAGUGUGACUGCAGUGUCCCUUGGGAACAUCCCGUGUGUGCUGUGGAAAAGGCAAGGAGCAAUUAUGUCAGAAGGAAAAGAUGUUAUUUUUUCAGUGCCAUGGCUCUGCUGUGGAUGCUCAGAGACGAGCUCGCAGGGAUCUCUCAGACUAAACGUGUCAGAUGUGUUGCUAUGGCCAAAUAAAGAUAUUUCUAAAUUGGUAUGGCUGUUAAAUACAUGGGAGAUAACAGCAAUCUGAGAAGCACACAUGACAGAAAUCUAGUGAGACCAAAUACUUGGUUUGGACCGAAUUAGAGUUUUUGGUCUGGUUUUUAAAUGCAGCAACUCAAAAGGCCUUUUCCCAGAGUAGAAAAGCCUCUUUUGCUGUUUCAAAGCUUAGCACAGAAAGCUGAUACACAGAAAGGAAGAUACAGCUUCCCAAAUCUAUCUUUUACAGAAAAUCAAAAUGAGGAUCCUGACAUAAGGACAGGACAAGACCCAAGAUUGAAGCCACUGCAUGGCUUUCAAUAUCAAAAUACAAAGCCCAGCAUUACAUGACACUAAUCUAUGCCAUAGCACGGGCAGCUUGAGGCCCAUCAGGUCCAUCUGAUGAGGUUCUGCCACCAUCCCAUCUGUUUUGUAUUCAUCUGUCACCGAGACUUGGAGCCACUGAGGAGGAAAAAGAACUGGCAGUGUCACGCCAUGGCUUUCUGACAUCCUUACAAGCACUGUGGGAAUUGCUAGAGGUUGUUUCCUGGUGCUUAUCAGGGGCAUCAAAAUGUAACUAAAUACCACGUAGGAGUAAAUACUGUUGUUAUCCAGCAGAAGUCCCAGCCCCAAAACUGCUGUUACACCAUGUUUCAGCUGUUCCUGAAUGUAAGGAGAUGUGUGUUGGGCACGCUGUGUCAGCCUCCUGCCAGUACAGUCCAAAUCCUGCUGGAGGGUCUGCUACAACCACUAAGGAAAAGGGUACAGUGUGGGCUCUCUGAGCUGGAAUGUGCUGCUAACACUCCGUGCAGUUGUCUCAGCCAAAUCUUCAUCUAAUUUGCUUUAACAGCAGAUGUUAAAAGGAAGAACUAAUCAAAGCAGCCAUAUACCCAGUGGGACUGAGGUUUCCUUGAGCUCGGCACUCACCUCCAGCAGCAGCAGCAGUUGGCACCCAGGGAAGAGGGAAAAAAAGUGGAUAAAGAGACACUGAAAGUUGCCUCAAACAGCCCCUGAGUCUCUGGAGUGCAAAGCAUGUCUUUUAACUCCUACUUUUUAUCCCUUCUAGUAGGCUCUUUUCCAGUCCUUGCUGAGGAGUAAAUGCUUUUUCUGUGUAUUCCCCGCAGGCUGCCCUACUUUACACCAUCACCUUGGAGAUGGAAAACACAAUUCUCUGCAAAAUCUGCUUGUCACGAUUCCCAAUUUUUUUGUAUCAGAGGGUGAGGCAGCGAAACCCUGACCCCGCUGAAAUCCCUGGGCGGUCAUAGCUGAGUUUGGCGCGGUGGGGGCUGAGGCACAGAGAAGUAUUUCGGACAUUUCUCGCAGGUCCCGGCACGGCUUUGUGCGUCUCCUUUGUUCUCCGGCAGUUUCCAUGGUGCUCCCGCUUUUGUGUGCAGACCUGUCUGCGGGCAGCACUUCUUCUCCAACGCCGCCCGCACCGGAUGAUUUCCCGAGGGGAGGCGGCGCAUCGCAUUGCGUGCCCGCGCUGCAGAGCUGCCGGGCAUCAGCCACCGCCGGCAUCCUGCAGCCUGGCACUCGGGAACCUCGGGAAACUAUGGAUUCGGGUGUUUUAAAGGAACGGAGCAAUACGCAUUAACCCAGCUCAGCCCUUCGCCGGUCGUGUUUAGCAGUAUAAGAGCAGGGCUCUUAUCCGAGGGGGUUGUUGCUGUAAAAUGAGAAGGCAGGGCAAGAAGCAGCAGCCAUGCCGCUGUUUGCUGCAGCACUCUGCAAAUUCGAUCUGCAGAUGAUCUGUAGGUGUCACAAAGCAUCAUUCCCCUCGCAUAGACGAGGAUGAACUCAUUUAUCUGUUACCCAGCUGUUAAUUCUCUGCUGAUCGUUCUGAUGCCGGAGCACUGACCUCCUGAAUGGCAUCAGCAGGGAGGAACUCGUGGUCCUCACGUCAGGCACAAAGUCAAAAUAACCUGUCCUCUGGUAUUGAUGCCCAGGAAUAAUAUCCCUCAAGAAACCUUGAGCCUGCUCAGAGGAUCACAGUAGAGUGCUUAGAGCCCGAGACUAGAAAUAUUUCAGCGGGAAAACCGGUUCUGUGCAUCUUACAGGCUGUUCAUCCAAAAGGAACUGGAGUGUAAAAUCACUGCCCAAGUGAAAAAGCAGGCGAAAGGGCAAAGCUGUGCCAAGGGGGGAUUGUAACUCCCAGGCACAGCAGAGAGUACAUUAAGUGGUGGGAAUAAGGCUGGAGGUCUGUUUAGCAGGAAUGCACUUUAAUCCGGGACCUGCAGAUAUCAAUAAGAAAAACAUUAAUAUCAAAAUAUAGAGAGAAUAUCACUGGGGGCAAAAGGGUGGCUAAGAAAGAGAUGUUCUCAUCACAAAAGCUAAAUACUUGGAGCAGAAAACUGCUUUUCUUCGCUAAGGUGAAGCUUGUACUGUGGGCUGGGAGAGAACAGGCUGCUCCCCAAAGCUGGACAUGGAAAUUGCCCUCCUCCUCAUCCAGAUCCAUCCAGUCUAUCUGUGGCCCUGGAGUUCCUGAGCUGUGUUGCCAGCCUGCAGCAGGCUGGAAUUGUGCUGGUACUUCCCAGGAAUAAACCUAUUGGUUGUGCACAAGGCACGGUGGUGGGAUCCAAGGAAGGGACAUGCCCUUGUGUGACAGAGGUGACCUGGACAGAUGUUCCUCCUGGAAGUACCAGGACAUGGAGAGUGGCACUGGAACAAAUAGAAGGGAGCAGGAUGAAAGCUCUCUGUUGUACGGGUUUGGAAAAACAUCCUCUACACCUGUAGUGUUCCACAAGUGAGGAAUAACGGUGCUUUCCCAUCAAA
Long non-coding RNA from Neopelma chrysocephalum (saffron-crested tyrant-manakin), 3045 nucleotides. RefSeq lists it as uncharacterized. NCBI's taxonomy places the organism in Eukaryota, Metazoa, Chordata, Aves, Passeriformes, Pipridae. The transcript has 2 exons. The record is from RefSeq and is a predicted model, not a curated record.